Sinocyclocheilus anshuiensis is the source of this 2560-nucleotide long non-coding RNA. RefSeq lists it as uncharacterized. NCBI's taxonomy places the organism in Eukaryota, Metazoa, Chordata, Actinopteri, Cypriniformes, Cyprinidae. The record is from RefSeq and is a predicted model, not a curated record. The transcript has 2 exons.
AAAAAAAAAAAAAGAUUUAAAAAAAGUUAGGAUAGGUUGAGGUUUUUUGUGAGUGUGUGUGCAAGCAUAAGAGAGAUGAAGUCUGCACAAAUUUUAUUGCUUUCCGACGUGUAUAAAACAAAUGCCAUGCUUUUAUUUUGUUCAACACAAUUUUGUACUUAAUUGAGCAUGUGUGCUAAAGUGUGUGUGCAUGAACGGACAGAAGUAGUUUGUGUUUGUGCUUUUUUUUUGUACAUAGGCUCUUAAAGAGACCGAUAGGACAGUCAAGCAUUGCGUUUUUACCCUCCAGUGUUUCAAAGCAUGAAUGAGGUGCUGUUUGGCCCGUUUGGCUCUGUUCUAAGAGGGCAAUCGGGGUCUCUGGGUUUGUGUUUGAUGUAUAAAUGUAGCUCCGCUGUUGUCUGUACACAAACUACUUACAUUACAACUCUUCCCCUUUCGUUCAUUCUCCGUCCACGAUGUGAAAUGUUGCCUUCUGUCCAGAAAGUAAGUGUGUGUGUGGGUGUGGGUGUGUGGAUUCUGUUGGCUGGUGUUUUGAGACAGUCACAAGGGCACUGUGAUUCUGUAUGUCGGUUGUGUUACUUUCUUUUUUUUGUUGCUGUUGGAAAAGGAUGAAUGAUUUAUUUUUUUAUUGUUCUAUACGAAGUAUUUGAAAUUUGAGUUGGAGCACUUUCUAGGCUGCUACCUUGUAUUUUUUGAAUAAUGUUUUUUUAUUUGUUAGGGUUUUUUUAUUUUAUUUGCCUCUUGAGGACAUUGUAUUAUGAAUGAAUGUAUUCCAAAACAAACUAUGUAUAACAGUACAUCUAACAACAAGGCUUGAGUGUCCCGGAGUGAAAUGGGACACGCCUAACCAUUCGGAAUAUGCCUAUUGUCAGAGGUCAGAUUCUGGGAUUCUGCAUGGCUUGUACCAAGCUGACGGUCUCUGGCUGCUAGUGCUCUUCCAGAACUUUUUCACAGCACCCGGAGAUUCCGUUUGUCUCCCAACAUCUUGAUGGAACUGUUGUUUUGCCGUCUUGUUACUUGCGCUCUUGACACAGGGCCAUUGAGAGCCAAGGAUCUGCAGUGUGUAGCAGUAAUUUGUUUUAAGAUCUAUUCCCCCUCCAAUACAUGACUUUUGGGAUUGAAAUAUGUGAUGUUUUGCAUCAUAAAUGUUUAUUCACCUGAAUCCUCUGAAUAGGAAGAGACUGAGGAUCAGAACAGAGGAGAUUUCGGUACUUGAUCUGUAGAAAAGAAAACAAAUCCUGCUUUAAGCGUAUUUCACUCUAUUCUGACUGGAUUAUAUUUUUGUAAAAAAAAAAAAAAAAUUAAAAAUUAAAGACAAUGACUGAAAACAAGCAUGGAGAAGUGGAUGUCAGCACUAAUUCAAACGCCAUCCUGGAGUCUGAAAAGGAGUGGCAACCAGCUGCAUUUAGUGCUACACACAGAGAGUGAGACUGAGGGAAUAUGUGCGGAUCCAUUUCAUCCUCGCACCAAAGGGAUGGAUUUUUCUGCAUCCUUUGAGCUGCGGUUCCCACUGCUCUGCAACACUAUCAAAUGAAGGAAAAUCCUACAGCAUUUGGAAAAAAAGUGGUCAUUUUGAAUGUUUGAUUAAAAAAAAAAACCUUUAUGCCUUAGAAGAUUACUGUGUGGAGAAAGUGCAGAUUCUCACGUCUAUCAAUCAUAUUUCUUCAAAAACUUCCUUCCCUGCUAAGGGUUGAGGAGUCUAGAUGUGAUGAAUGUUUGGAGAGGAGACAAACUGAUGCAAGCUCUCCUCGUUUCUUCGCGCACUUCACUUGAACUAAAUCUCAAGGACACAGACUUGUCAUGAUUGCCUGUCAAUACAAUGAAAAAAUGAGAGUAUUACAGCAAUUGGUGACACUAUGGAGUUCAUGGAUGCUUGUGAAACAGCUGAGCUGCAGUGAACCAGGAUGGACGUAACCUAGAUCUCUCUGCUGGGACCAUCACACCCACCAGUACGCGUCUUCUGAUUUCGUCGAACUGGAUUAAGCAAGAGACCACAACUCUUUUCUUUCUUUCUCUCUGCAUCUCUCUUUUGUCCUGACAGCAUAGAAUGGGACCCACAGACAGACUAGGUGUGUGCAUGCAUGUGGAGAGACUGUGUGUGUCUGUACAAAGACACUCGUACAUUCUUCCAUCUCGCUCGUGGGCGAGGUGGGGACUGGAUGCCCUGUACAUAAUGUAAAUUAUUUUGGUCCCAGUUUGUUGAGUUCUGUCCAUCGUAGGCCAUCAUUUUGGGUGUUUCACAUGCCUUAAUUGUACAAAAUAGAACUGCCCUGGUCAACAUUAAUGUAACACUCAUUAGAAAAAAACAGCACAGGCUAUAUCUACACCAUUCAGUCAUCGAAAGGAAUCUGAGCCUGGCUGAGGAUGUUUUCCCCUACCUUGACUUUACUCAUCAUACAAGACUGUGGGAUGUUUCCACAGUGUUUUCUAUGUAUUGUUGGUAUGUUGAUGUUCAAGUGAAUAACUGCAAUUAUUGACAUGUACAGAUAAAGGUUAAUGAACAUUGGUAUAUGCGGAAAUCUAGUAGUUUGCCUUCUAUCAGUUUGGCAUUUAAUUUUUU